GAUGAACGCUGGCGGCGUGCCUAAUACAUGCAAGUCGAGCGAAUGGAUUAAGAGCUUGCUCUUAUGAAGUUAGCGGCGGACGGGUGAGUAACACGUGGGUAACCUGCCCAUAAGACUGGGAUAACCCCGGGAAACCGGGGCUAAUACCGGAUAACAUUUUGAACCGCAUGGUUCGAAAUUGAAAGGCGGCUUCGGCUGUCACUUAUGGAUGGACCCGCGUCGCAUUAGCUAGUUGGUGAGGUAACGGCUCACAAAGGCAACGAUGCGUAGCCGACCUGGGAGGGUGAUCGGCCACACUGGGACUGAGACACGGCCCAGACUCCUACGGGAGGCAGCAGUAGGGAAUCUUCCGCAAUGGACGAAAGUCUGACGGAGCAACGCCGCGUGAGUGAUGAAGGCUUUCGGGUCGUAAAACUCUGUUGUUAGGGAAGAACAAGUGCUAGUUGAAUAAGCUGGCACCUUGACGGUACCUAACCAGAAAGCCACGGCUAACUACGUGCCAGCCGCCGCAGUAA
This 515-nucleotide ribosomal RNA is filed under the name uncultured bacterium. Its description in RNAcentral is "partial 16S ribosomal RNA". It matches the Rfam family "Bacterial small subunit ribosomal RNA", at positions 28 to 523 of the family's 1533-position model. The record is from RNAcentral.